GAGGAAAAGAAACCAACAGGGAUUGCCUCAAUAUCGGCGACUGAAGCGGCAACAGCUCAAAUUUGAAAUCUGACUUCGGUCCGAGUUGUAAUUUGCAGAGGGUAUUUGGAAACCGACAUGGGCCUAAGUCCCUUGGAACAGGGUGUCACAUAGGGUGAGAACCCCGUACGUGGCCACAUGUCAGUUUCAUGUCAAAUCCCUUCGACGAGUCAAGUUGUUUGGGAAUGCAGCUCAAAAUGGGUGGUAAAUUUCAUCUAAAGCUANAUACCGGCCAAAGACCGAUAGCGCACAAGUAGAGUGAUCGAAAGAUGAAAAGCACUUUGGAAAGAGAGUUAAACAGUACGUGAAAUUGUUGAAAGGGAAGCGCUUGCCAUUAGACCGAUUCAUGAGCUGCAGUCGGAGGCAACUCUUGACGUAAAGCACUCGUUUUUCGGCCAGCAUCAGUUUUGAUGGUUCGACAAAGACGUGGAGAACGUGGCUCUUCGGAAUGUUAUAGCUUCGCGUGUAAUGGAAUCUAUUGGGACUGAAGACCGCNCUUCCGCUAUGAUGCUGGCGUUAU
This 559-nucleotide ribosomal RNA is filed under the name Icmadophila ericetorum (peppermint drop lichen). Its description in RNAcentral is "LSU rRNA". It matches the Rfam family "Eukaryotic large subunit ribosomal RNA", at positions 53 to 635 of the family's 3401-position model. Lineage: Eukaryota; Fungi; Ascomycota; Lecanoromycetes; Pertusariales; Icmadophilaceae. The record is from RNAcentral.